AGGGGUAUAGUUCUUCGGAGCUAGAGACCGGCGCACGGGUGCGUAACGCGUAUGCAAUCUACCUUUUACAGAGGGAUAGCCCAGAGAAAUUUGGAUUAAUACCUCAUAGUAUGUGAGAAUCGCAUGGUUUUCACAUUAAAGUUCCAACGGUAAAAGAUGAGCAUGCGUCCCAUUAGCUAGAUGGUAAGGUAACGGCUUACCAUGGCGACGAUGGGUAGGGGUCCUGAGAGGGAGAUCCCCCACACUGGUACUGAGACACGGACCAGACUCCUACGGGAGGCAGCAGUGAGGAAUAUUGGACAAUGGGCGCAAGCCUGAUCCAGCCAUGCCGCGUGCAGGAUGACGGUCCUAUGGAUUGUAAACUGCUUUUGUACAGGAAGAAACACUCCCUCGUGAGGGAGCUUGACGGUACUGUAAGAAUAAGGAUCGGCUAACCCCGUGCCAGCAGCCGCGGUAAUACGGAGGAUCCAAGCGUUAUCCGGAAUCAUUGGGUUUAAAGGGUCCGUAGGCGGUUUAAUAAGUCAGUGGUGAAAGCCCAUCGCUCAACGGUGGAACGGCCAUUGAUACUGUUAAACUUGAAUUAUUAGGAAGUAACUAGAAUAUGUAGUGUAGCGGUGAAAUGCUUAGAGAUUACAUGGAAUACCAAUUGCGAAGGCAGGUUACUACUAAUGGAUUGACGCUGAUGGACGAAAGCGUAGGUAGCGAACAGGAUUAGAUACCCUGGUAGUCCACGCCGUAAACGAUGGAUACUAGCUGUUGGGCGCAAGUUCAGUGGCUAAGCGAAAGUGAUAAGUAUCCCACCUGGGGAG
This 809-nucleotide ribosomal RNA is filed under the name uncultured Bacteroidota bacterium. Its description in RNAcentral is "bacterial SSU rRNA". It matches the Rfam family "Bacterial small subunit ribosomal RNA", at positions 65 to 880 of the family's 1533-position model. Lineage: Bacteria; Pseudomonadati; Bacteroidota. The record is from RNAcentral.